GGGCGAGUGGUGGAAUUGGUAGACGCGCCGCACUCAAAAUGCGGUACUUAGGUGUGCGAGUUCGAGUCUCGCCUCGCCCA
This 80-nucleotide transfer RNA is filed under the name Alkalinema sp. RU_4_3. RNAcentral's name for it is "tRNA-Leu". It matches the Rfam family "tRNA". Rfam says of the family: Transfer RNA (tRNA) molecules are approximately 80 nucleotides in length. Their secondary structure includes four short double-helical elements and three loops (D, anti-codon, and T loops). The record is from RNAcentral. Lineage: Bacteria; Bacillati; Cyanobacteriota; Cyanophyceae; Leptolyngbyales; Leptolyngbyaceae. RNAcentral also lists the same sequence under 3 other names.